Molecule: ribosomal RNA, 2808 nt
Filed under: Helotiales sp. EF0021
Lineage: Eukaryota; Fungi; Ascomycota; Leotiomycetes; Helotiales
Description: bacterial LSU rRNA
Rfam family: Bacterial large subunit ribosomal RNA (bases 70-2133)
Source: RNAcentral
CAUAUAAUAGUAAUGUGUAUGAUAUCUAACUCUUCCUUUUUAUACCAUAAGUAUAAGGAAGUAUAAAAAGAGAUUAUUAGGGAUACCUUGCCAUAUAUUAAAGAGAGUAUACAUUUAACUUGUGUUUAAAGAGAUAUAUUAACACAUGAACUCUGAGAGAAAUCCAAUAAUAAACGAAGUGAAUUGAAACAUCUUAGUAACUUCAGGAAAAGAAAUCAAACGAGAUUCUAUGACUAGUGUGAAUGAAAGUAGAGCAGCCUAUAUAAUAUCAGAAUAUAUAUUAAUAUAUAUAGUAAUUAAAACUAAAGAAAAAGUAGUAUUAUAAUAAUUUAUUUUGUUUUAAACUAAACAAAUAGUGCAUAUACUUUUUUAUUAUAAUAUUAUUACUAGUAAUGUUACUUGGAUUAUACAUUAUAAUAAAUUUUUAUCCACUGAUAUAUUAAAAAAUAAAGUAAAACGGGCAAAACUUGUUUGAAUAUAAAGGGGAACCUUCCUCUAAGGCUAAAUAUGAUAUAUGAGCGACAGCGUAUAGUUGUGUGAAAGAAAGGUUUGAAAUAGUAGUCUUAUAAGCAGCUCGAGUGAAAUUUUAUAAAUAAUUAGAGCGUACCUUUUGCAUAAUGGGUCAGCAAGUUAAUAUUAGAUGCGAGCAUGUGAUAAAUGUGCCUAGAUAAACCAAUUAUGAGAUAAUGAUUUAGUAUCUAAAAUUAGACCCGAAGCCUGGUGAUCUUACUACAGUCAGGGUUAUAAAAGCCCGAACGGGUUAUCGUUGUAAAGAUAUCCGAAGAACUGUGGUAAGUUAGUGAAAGACAAAACUGACCAGGAUAGCUGGUUUUCUGCGAAACCUAUAUAAGUAGGUAAUUCAAGUUACAUCAUAGCAGGUACAGAACUGUGAUCUCAGGCAACUUAUAUCUUAUUAUUUUAUAACUUCUUACGAAGUACAAUAGAAUAAGGGGGUAAUUUUGCAUAUAUCGGGCAAUCGUGAAGAUUUUAUCGGUGAGUAUUCGCACUCGGAAGGGCAAUGAUGAAUCUUGAAUAAUCGGACAUAGUACGAUAAGGUUGUAUGUCUAAAGGGAAACAGCCCAGAACAAGAGUUAAGGUUCCAAAAUUAUUGUUAAGUGAAAUUAAGGAAGUUUCUAUCUAAUACGACUAGGAAAUAGGCUUAGAAGCGGUCCAUUUUUUGAAGAUCUCGUAACAGAGCACUAGUUUAGUAAUUUAUUGCUAACCGCAAAGUUUACAUUGAUAGUUGCACCGAAGAUUUAACGGAUCUAAACAAUAUACCGACACCUUGUCCAUAUUUAUUAAUAAUUUUUAAUUAUUAUAUUUAAUGGGGUAGCAGAACGUCGGGUAAAUCUAAGACUUAUUCUUUUUAAGAAUAAAUAUAAGAUAACCCGAGUGAGAAUGCUGACAUGAGUAACGAAAAAGGGAUAACCCUCGCCUAAAGCUUAUGGUUUUUUUAAAGUAACGGCCUCUAAGUUUACCAACCUAAAGGAUUAAACGAUGAGCAAAUCUUUGUUAUAAAGUAACAACCUUCUUUUAAAUUUAGAUAUUAAGUGGAGAAGGUUCUGGAAAAACAAUAACGGUCGAAGCUAUUUAUUUCAAUAAACUAAAACAGAUGAGUUAUAAAUAGUUCUAUUAUUAUGUAUUUAUAAAUAUAAUAAAGCGUGCUUUUUUACAUAUAUUUUUAUAUAAUAAUGGAUAGACUAUACAACCGUACCUAAAGGACUACCCCAAGUAAGCUAGUAGAGAAUACGAAGGCGUUUGAGCUAACAAUCAUUAAGGAACUCGGCAAACUAACUACCGUAACUUAGGGAUAAGGAGAGCCAUUCCUCCUGAAUAAUAUCAGGUAAAGAAUAGGAAGCAUGGAAUAGUGUUGUACGACUGUUUAAUUAAAACAAAGCACUUUGCAGUAAGAUAAUAAAUCAAAGUAUUGAGUGUGAAUUCUGCCCGAUGUCGGCUGGUUAACGGAUUUGCUAAGUUGACUAAUAUAAGCUUGGCUUUGAAGGAAACCCCGAUCAAUGGCGGCCUUAACUAUAAGGGUCCUAAGGUAGCGGAAUACCUUGGCCGUUAAAUGCGGUCUUGCAUGAAUGAUUUAACGAUACAACAGCUGUCUCAAUGAUUGGCUCAGUGAAAUUGGAAUAACUGUGCAGAUACAGUUUACCUCUAGUUAGACGAGAAGACCCUAUGCAGCUUUACUGUUGCUAGUUAUUGAAUAUGAUAUUGCAAGUUUUAGAGUAUAAGGUAGCGAAAGCAGAGUUGAAACACCUUUACUUAGUAUAUCAUAUUGGUAGACAAAAUCUACGUGAAAAUAUAAACUAUUUUUUAAUAUAAAAAAUUAAUAAAUAGUUGGAUAUAAUCAUUAACCUUCUUCUUACUUCGCCUUUAUUUAUAACUAUAAAAAACGGCGAAGGAAGAGUAUGGAGGGACAAUUGCUAGGAGGCAGUUUAUGCGGGGCACAGAUCCCAUAAAAAGUACCUGGGUGUAUCCAAAGUUAAUUUUGUAAAAUUGUGAUAAUUAAAUUAUCACAAUUAAAUAUACUUUUUAUAAAAUAUGUAUAUUUUUUUUACUUUUAGUAUGUUAUUGGCUAUAGUUUUUGCUAUAAUUAUAGCAAGAGCUGUGGCUAAUCCAGCUAUAUAUCUAUUGAGUUAGAACUAAUAUUUUUUUUAUUCAAGUAAGAUUUUAUCUAUAUGGAAAAUAGAUGUAAUUUAAAUAUUAAUAUAUUUAUAUUAAUAUUUAUAAUUAUAUUAUUAGUAAUUUAUAAAAUUUAAGUUAUAUGAUAUUACACUAAUAAUAUAAUUAUGUUUAUUACUU